Molecule: non-coding RNA, 2264 nt
Organism: Triticum urartu
Lineage: Eukaryota; Viridiplantae; Streptophyta; Magnoliopsida; Poales; Poaceae
Source: RefSeq, a predicted model, not a curated record
CUUCCUCGUGAUGGUAUAGGAGUACAUACUAAUUCGAUAAACAAGAGGCGAAGUUGCCAACGCCUGAGAUAGUGGUUCCUACCUCUGGCCUUCGCACCUUUAGUUCCGCAAGUAGUUAAGCAACUCAAAUGGCCAGCGAUUUGCUUUCUCCUAGGUUUACAGUGGCUGCAGCCUCCUAUUUGUGACGUCGUAGCCCCAAAGUGGUACAUGUGUGAUCUUCAUGGAGCUAGCCAUCAUUGGAUUUGGUAAUACAUAAUCACUUAUUCAGAGAGCCCAAGGUGAGAAGGGACGAGCAUCUAGAACACCACCACCUACUAAUCAGUGAGCUACUAUCCGCCUUUGAAUGAGUUACUUAACAAGAGAAGGCAGGUAGCAAUAGAACACGUGCAAUCUCAAUGUUUACUAAGUAUCUAUUUCUGAAUUUAUUCGUUCCCAGCUGCUCUGAAUCUGGGUGUUUUGCUUGCUGCUUUGUAGGAGUUUCCUACCUUUCUUCUGCAAAUCUGGAAUGCCUUUAUGGCAUGAUCAUGUGAAAAAAGUACCUUGAUGCAGUAAUGGAUUUGAUUAUCACUGGUUACUCUGUUUUCACGAAUUACUAUCCAACUGUAAGUCUGUUCUAUACCCUAAGGCCCAUGUAAAUCUGAUAGAAGAUUAAGCUAUUUAAUUUUAACUAAAAAGGAUAAUAUUCUUUCAGUCGCUUGAAUCUGUCCAGACCUGAAAAAUACUUAUACUUUGAAAGCUUUAUAUAUGAGUAUGUAAUUUUACAGGUAUGUAGAUAGUCGAAAAUGUUAUUGUUCAAAUGUACUCGAGCCAGGUUUUCGGUGUUUCAUUGCAACCAAAAGAAUUGGUAAUAUUGUUUUGAUGAACACAUGGUCGCACUUGUCGGUGUUGUAGUGGCAUAGGAAAUUUUCCCCUAAGAUCCACUAUGAAGUUGAUUGAAAGUCCAUUUCCCCUAAGAUCCACUAUGACAAUGAAAAAGAUUUCUGAAAACUGUGUCACCAUAAAUGUUCCAUCAUUGUCCAUAGUAGUCCCAUGCCAUAUUAAUUUCAUAAGAAUAAUUUCUUAUUCAGAUGUUCAUUGUGUUUUUAUGUACUGCUAUAUCUAAAAAAGCAAGUUUCAGCUAAAACCAGAGCCGUGGUUAAGAUACUCUUCGCACCUAGGAUAUGUGUAUAUGUUUAGAUUGCUAACUUUAAACUAUAGUUUUAGAAAAUGUGGUGCCCUCGCUUAUUUUUCUAAUGCAUGAACUUAGGGUAAAUGUUUUAUGUGUAAUGCGUGCUUGAUUUCUUUUUGGUUCUGGUGGAUUUUGAUUUUCUCCACCAUGCUUCUCUCCAACGAGAUGAGUCUGUUUUCGCAGCAGCGGGUGAUGCAUGUGCUUAUUGUUGGUUGUUGCUAUGUGGUAUGCAUUUUCUCAUUGUUGGCUGUUUGUUGUUUGCUAUGAUUAAGAUACAUUGGCAUGUACAUUUUAUAUCAGUUUUGUUUUCAACACCACCUAUCACUGUAUAAUUUGCCGUUAAUAGAGUAGUUUCUCCUUUAUUGCAUUGCAUAAUGCUAGCAAGCUACAUUGCACCAUAAACAAAAAUAAUCCUCUUCCAAGGUUAAACCUGUUUUUUUCCUUCUAGCAAAGAUCAUUGGAAAAGAUCAAUUCCGUUAGCCUAUAAUAUUGCAGUUCUUUCGUAUCCUUCAAAGAUUUAUAAAUAUUUUCUGUUUCCACUCCAUUCGUUCUCAUGGAUUCUGAAAAAAAUAUUUUUGUUUUUUGUUGAUUAAUAAUAUUGCUUUCCCUUUCAGUUUUGAGGUGGUCGAUGCAUGUAGAAUAUACAGACUUUCCUAGAAUGGCGCCUUUUAGUUUUUCUGCUUGAUGUUAGUUCAUUGAUGAGAACACCUAUGUACAUGAUUGCUGCAUGCAUGAUAUCCUACUAUGUACUGAGAAAUAUUUUUGUUUUCCGGACAUUGUUUUCUAAAUCCUAUCAACAUAUUACCUGAUAUGGUCUUUGAAGUUUCUAUUUUAUAGCGACUCUUUGCACUGGUCAACUUGAGUAUGGUAUGGUUAUCUUUUCUUUUGUUUACAGGCGAUGUGUGGUAGAAGUUGUACUCACAGGAAGACUAUCGUGCUGUGUAUAAACCACGUUCUAUGAUUCACUUCUGUUAUACAUAUUUACUUUCCAGUUUUAGGACUGAAAUCCAUCCAUUGUAAUGAAUUUGGUUGUAUGGGCAUUACCUAUUUGACUUAGGCUUGCUUCAUCACAUAUAGACUGCUUUUCUUUUCCCCA